Molecule: ribosomal RNA, 458 nt
Filed under: uncultured bacterium
Lineage: Bacteria
Description: SSU rRNA
Rfam family: Bacterial small subunit ribosomal RNA
Source: RNAcentral
AGAGCGAACGCUGGCGGCAGGCUUAACACAUGCAAGUCGAACGCUUUUGGGGCUUCGGUCCCAAAGGAGUGGCGCACGGGUGAGUAGCGCGUGGGAACCUGCCCUGGAGUGGGGGAUAACCGAGGGAAACUUCGGCUAAUACCGCAUACGCCGGGAAACCGGGAAAGAUCUAUCGCUCUAGGAGGGGCCCGCGUCGGAUUAGCUAGUUGGUGGGGUAACGGCCUACCAAGGCUUUGAUCCGUAGCUGGUCUGAGAGGAUGAUCAGCCACACUGGGACUGAGACACGGCCCAGACUCCUACGGGAGGCAGCAGUGGGGAAUAUUGGACAAUGGGCGCAAGCCUGAUCCAGCAAUGCCGCGUGAGUGAUGAAGGCCUUCGGGUUGUAAAGCUCUUUCGCACGCGAGGAUGAUGACGCUAGCGUGAGAAGAAGCCCCGGCUAACUUCGUGCCAGCAGCCGC